Molecule: long non-coding RNA, 951 nt
Filed under: Nicotiana tabacum (common tobacco)
Lineage: Eukaryota; Viridiplantae; Streptophyta; Magnoliopsida; Solanales; Solanaceae
Description: long non-coding RNA (NTAB_LNC004786)
Source: RNAcentral
AGUGAAGAUUUCAAUAAACCUGGCCAAUUGAGAAAUGCAAAAUUUACAUCCGGCCAACAUCCACUCAUAUGAGAUAAGGCCUUUCUACAUCAAAGCUACAAUGUCAAGGAUCUCUUUGUCAUAGCGCCCAAAUUUCAUGCUUGUCUUUUAAACCUGAAAAUAACCAAGAAUUUUCAAGAUGUGUUUGUAAAAUCUGUGCAACAACGAUUGCUACCUAAAAAAUUCCAAAAAGUACUCACUUCUUCAAUUUGUACUAGUUGAAAAAAAACUAUAGGCCGAGUUUAAGGUAUUACCAUGGCUUUCGCUACAUUUUAGGGAAUUUGUUUUUUUGAUAUUAGAUGGAGAGAUAUGAAAUAUGAAGAAAAUAAGAUGUCAAAUGAGAAUAUGCAAACGGUGAUGUUGGUGGAAAGGUCGUGACCCUUGUAUCUCCUUUAGAAGUCAUUUUUCCAGAAUGAUGAAAUUCAAACGCCGUGAUCCAUUCGUAUGGGAUAAGUGAGUAAAGGAAAAACAAAAAUACAUAUGUAUGAACGAAGGAAGGAAAACAUAACUUUUAAAAAGAGAUGAUGCAUCCACUCCAUAGAGAUGGACAAAAGCUUUGAAGAUGACAAAUGGUUAUUAAAGCCCAAUCCGAAAAAUAUUUUCAGUUGCCUUUUCAACAUACAUGAUGUAGAAAUUCCUCACCAUUAUGACAGGCAUUAGAUUCUAUAUAUAAUUGCCAUAAGUCCUUCAAAAUUUUGCCCUUGGGUUCUCUUAUGUAAGAAAACGGUUGUUUAUUAAUAGUAAUGACUUUUGAAAUUCUUUUUCAAAAGACAUGACGUUUGAACUCCUAUAUAAUUAUUAAAUUAUUAUUACAAUAAAAAGAAUGAGUUUUAGAAAUGUGAAAAAAUGGAGAAAAAAGAUAAUUUGAAAUCCUUGUUUAGGAGAGUGCUACGUCACCGUGCCAAAGUACCU